UACAGAGGUCUCAAGCGUUGUUCGGAUUCAUUGGGCGUAAAGGGUGCGUAGGCGGUGCGGUAAGUCACCUGUGAAAUCUCCUGGCUCAACUGGGAGCUUGCAGGCGAAACUGCCGUGCUGGAGUUUGGGAGAGGGAUGCGGAAUUCCAGGUGUAGCGGUGAAAUGCGUAGAUAUCUGGAGGAACACCGGUGGCGAAGGCGGCAUCCUGGACCAACACUGACGCUGAUGAGCGAAAGCCAGGGGAGCAAACGGG
This 253-nucleotide ribosomal RNA is filed under the name uncultured bacterium. Its description in RNAcentral is "partial 16S ribosomal RNA". It matches the Rfam family "Bacterial small subunit ribosomal RNA", at positions 524 to 776 of the family's 1533-position model. The record is from RNAcentral.